CCUACGGGAGGCUGCAGUGGGGAAUAUUGGACAAUGGGGGGAACCCUGAUCCAGCCAUGCCGCGUGUGUGAAGAAGGCCCUCGGGUUGUAAAGCACUUUCAGUGAGGAAGAACGCCUGGUGGUUAAUACCCAUCAGGAAAGACAUCACUCACAGAAGAAGCACCGGCUAACUCCGUGCCAGCAGCCGCGGUAAUACGGAGGGUGCGAGCGUUAAUCGGAAUUACUGGGCGUAAAGCGCGCGUAGGUGGCUUGAUAAGCCGGUUGUGAAAGCCCCGGGCUCAACCUGGGAACGGCAUCCGGAACUGUCAAGCUAGAGUGCAGGAGAGGAAGGUAGAAUUCACGGUGUAGCGGUGAAAUGCGUAGAGAUCGGGAGGAAUACCAGUGGCGAAGGCGGCCUUCUGGACUGACACUGACACUGAGGUGCGAAAGCGUGGGUAGCAAACAGGAUUAGAUACCCUUGUAGUC
RNAcentral lists this ribosomal RNA (465 nucleotides) under Vreelandella stevensii. RNAcentral's name for it is "partial 16S ribosomal RNA". It matches the Rfam family "Bacterial small subunit ribosomal RNA", at positions 338 to 795 of the family's 1533-position model. The record is from RNAcentral. Lineage: Bacteria; Pseudomonadati; Pseudomonadota; Gammaproteobacteria; Oceanospirillales; Halomonadaceae.